Long non-coding RNA from Brassica napus (rape), 437 nucleotides. RefSeq lists it as uncharacterized. The record is from RefSeq and is a predicted model, not a curated record. The transcript has 3 exons. NCBI's taxonomy places the organism in Eukaryota, Viridiplantae, Streptophyta, Magnoliopsida, Brassicales, Brassicaceae.
ACUUACAGUGUUUUGAGGUCAAGCAAGUCUCCAAAAGUUGGACUAAUAGACCUCAGGUUGAUCUGUGAAAGAAACCUGGACAACCAGAAGAAGCAAAAAUCUGAGCUGAGUUCCAGAAAUGUGAAAAGCAAGGGUUGUCUUACAAUGAUGUAACACGGCUUCCUUCACACUCAAUGUGGUUCCAAGGAAGAGGAGUGCAUGGGUCGUCUUGCCAUCCAAGGUAGCAAUCAAACAGAGGAUACCUGUGGUAGAAGAAGCUUCUGGAGGGAUUUGGAGGAUUUCAUACACCUCAAGAGCGUUCACCUGAGGAUUGAACUUGAUUUUUUCAAAGACUGUUUGACUUCGUUAUUGAUGGUCACACUAAAAGAAGGGGAGAGUGAGAGUAUCCCAGCGAAGUAGAGGAUAAUGUAGUAGUCCCCUAGUGUAUCUAGAGAAAG